Molecule: ribosomal RNA, 402 nt
Filed under: Arthropoda sp. MM00781
Lineage: Eukaryota; Metazoa; Arthropoda
Description: SSU rRNA
Rfam family: Eukaryotic small subunit ribosomal RNA
Source: RNAcentral
CAAUAGCGUAUAUUAAAGUUGUUGCGGUUAAAAAGCUCGUAGUUGGAUCUCAGUUCAUGUUAAGUGGUCCACUUGCCGGUGGUUACUACUUAGCUGAACAUUUUACAGACCUGUCUUGUGAUGCUCUUCACCGGGUGUCAUGAGCGAUCUGUACGUUUACUUUGAAAAAAUUAGAGUGCUUAAAGCAGGCAUAAUGCCGGAAUAAUCUUGCAUGGAAUAAUGGAAUAGGACCUCGGUUCUAUUUUGUUGGUCUUCGGAUCCUGAGGUAAUGAUUAAGAGGGACAGACGGGGGCAUUCGUAUUGCAGCGCUAGAGGUGAAAUUCUUGGACCGUUGCAAGACGAACUACAGCGAAAGCAUUUGCCAAGAAUGUUUUCAUUAAUCAAGAACGAAAGUUAGAGGUU